GACGAACGCUGGCGGCGUGCUUAACACAUGCAAGUCGAACGCUGAAGCUCAGCUUUUGUUGGGUGGAUGAGUGGCGAACGGGUGGGUAACACGUGAGUAACCUGCCCCCUUCUUUGGGAUAACGCCCGGAAACGGGUGCUAAUACUGGAUAUUCACUGGUCUUCGCAUGGGGGUUGGUGGAAAGGGUUUUUCUGGUGGGGGAUGGGCUCGCGGCCUAUCAGCUUGUUGGUGGGGUGAUGGCCUACCAAGGCUUUGACGGGUAGCCGGCCUGAGAGGGUGAACGGUCACAUUGGGACUGAGAUACGGCCCAGACUCCUACGGGAGGCAGCAGUGGGGAAUAUUGCACAAUGGGCGCAAGCCUGAUGCAGCGACGCCGCGUGAGGGAUGGAGGCCUUCGGGUUGUGAACCUCUUUCGCUCAUGGUCAAGCCGCAACAAUGGUUGUGGUGAGGGUAGUGGGUAAAGAAGCGCCGGCUAACUACGUG
RNAcentral lists this ribosomal RNA (483 nucleotides) under uncultured bacterium. RNAcentral describes it as "partial 16S ribosomal RNA". It matches the Rfam family "Bacterial small subunit ribosomal RNA", at positions 28 to 507 of the family's 1533-position model. The record is from RNAcentral.